This 253-nucleotide ribosomal RNA is filed under the name uncultured bacterium. RNAcentral describes it as "partial 16S ribosomal RNA". It matches the Rfam family "Bacterial small subunit ribosomal RNA", at positions 524 to 776 of the family's 1533-position model. The record is from RNAcentral.
UACAGAGGUCCCAAGCGUUGUUCGAAUUCACUGGGCGUAAAGGGUGCGUAGGUGGCUUGGUAAGUUCGAUGUGAAAUCUCCGGGCUUAACCCGGAAAUGGCAUUGAAUACUAUUGAGCUGGAGGUUUGGAGGGGGGACUGGAAUUCUCGGUGUAGCAGUGAAAUGCGUAGAUAUCGAGAGGAACACCAGUGGCGAAGGCGAGUCCCUGGACAACACCUGACACUGAGGCACGAAAGCUAGGGGAGCAAACAGG